AACCUGGUUGAUUCUGCCAGUAGUCAUAUGCUUGUUUCAAGGAUUAAGCCAUGCAAGCCUAAGAGUAACCUAUUUCACAGGAGGUCUGCGAACGGCUCAUUAUAUCAGAGAUAAUUCACCGGGAAAAUAGCAGCUCACGCUGCCCAAUGGAUAACUUCGCGAAACGCGAAGCUAAUACAUGCAUGAAACGCAGCGCCCUCCAGUUGAGCGGGCGGGGGAAACCCCGGCCGCGGGGGGCCUGUGCGAAUGGUCGCUACGAAGAUCAACGCCGCUCGCGCGGCAGAGUCCAAGAGCGAUGAAUCAGACCAUUCAGCGAAAGCGCGCUUCGGCGCGCGUGUCCCGACAAGUCUCUGCCCUAUCAGCUCUGAUGGUAGUGUAUUGGACUACCAUGGCGAUAACGGGUACGGGGAAUUAGGGUUCGAUUCCGGAGAGGGAGCCUGAGAGAUAGCUACCACUUCUACGGAGGGCAGCAGGCGCGUAAAUUGCCCAAUGCCAAAUCGGCGAGGCAGCGAAGAAAAAUAGCGACCCCGCCUCUUCGGAGCGCGGGGAUUGCAAUGGGUGGUACGUAAACCCACCAACGAGUAUCAAUUGGAGGACAAGUCUGGUGCCAGCACCCGCGGUAAUUCCAGCUCCAAUAGCGUAUAUUAAUGUUGCUGCUGUUAAAGGGUUCGUAGUUGGACUCAGGGCGGGGAGAUUCGCGCACAACCGUGCGCCUUCGCCCCCGCCCUGUCACAGACGGGGCCGCGUCCCGCCGCGAGCCUUCACUGGCGCGCGGCACCCGCAAGGGAUCGAGUGCGACACACUCACCGGACCGCCCGUCGUUCUCACCGUGAAUAAAACAGCGUGUUCAAAGCAGCCGUUCGGCCGCAUGACAAAGCAUGGAAUGACAGAGCAUCGACCAGCUGGUUGUGCUUUUGUUGGUUUUCCUACCUAGUUGGGUAACUCGCGGCGCCGCCGCGCCUCCGGGCGCGCGGCGCUCGCACGGGAUUAACGGGGGUUGUCGGGGGAAAACGUAUUCGGGCGUGAGAGGUGAAAUUCUUAGACCGCCCGGGGACGAACUUAUGCGAAGGCAUUUUCCAAGUAUACCUUCAUCAAUCAAGAACUAAAGUGUGGAGAUCGAAGAUGAUUAGAUACCAUUGUAGUCCACCACUGCAAACGAUGACGCCCAUGGAUCGGACAGUGUUCUACUCCGAUGGGAUCUUUUCGGCACUGCUCCCCUUCAACGCGAAAGCUGAGGCUAUGGUCUCAUGGGGAAGUACGUUCGCAAGGCUGAAACUUAAAGAAAUUGACGGAAUGGCACCACCAGACGUGGAGUGUGCGGUUUAAUUUGACUCAACACGGGAAACCUUACCAGGACAGGACAACGGAAGGAUUGACAGGCUGAUAGCCCUUUCUUGAUUCGUUUGACGGUGGUGCAUGGCCGCUUUUGGUCGGUGAAGUGAUUUGUUUGGUUGAUUCCUUUAACGGACGAGACCCAAUCCGCUUACUAGGGGCGCCAUCUCUGCGGGUCCCCCCGCUCCGGCGGGGUGGCCCGGAUAGCGACUCCUUCUUCGCGGCAUUCCAUGCGCCUUAGCAUGGUGGCAUUUUGGGCAACAGCAGGUCCGUGAUGCUCCUAAAUGUCCUGGGCGACACGCGCACUACAAUGACAAAGUGAAUGAGUGAAACCUUCGGGUCCUGCUCCGACAGGAGUGGGAAAACUUCGAAAACUAUGUCGUGCUUGGGAUCGAAGCUUGCAAUUAUUCUUCUUGAACGAGGAAUGUCUAGUAGACGUGCUUCAUCAAAGCACAUUGACUACGUCCCUGCCAUUUGUACACACCGCCCGUCGUUGUUACCGAUGUCAGUUUGAUACAGGUCAACGGACGGCGCCGGCGCCCACGGGCCCUCCGCCGGAAGUUGACCGAUAUUAAACUAGUAGAGGAAGCAAAAGUCGUAACAAGGUAGCUGUAGGUGAACCUGCAGCUGGAUCAUUA
Molecule: ribosomal RNA, 1970 nt
Organism: Perkinsela sp. CCAP 1560/4
Lineage: Eukaryota; Euglenozoa; Kinetoplastea; Prokinetoplastida; Perkinselidae
Rfam family: Eukaryotic small subunit ribosomal RNA
Source: Rfam